Long non-coding RNA from Rosa chinensis, 2653 nucleotides. RefSeq lists it as uncharacterized. The record is from RefSeq and is a predicted model, not a curated record. The transcript is spliced from 7 exons. NCBI's taxonomy places the organism in Eukaryota, Viridiplantae, Streptophyta, Magnoliopsida, Rosales, Rosaceae.
GAAAAUUCUGUUGUCUGAAUGAGUUGGAUUGAAAUUUUAGAAAUCUCCCACCAAUGGAUUAAGGCAUUUCCCUCUAAAACUUGGUCAAAACCCUAGUGGAGUAAAAAAGUGAUAGGCAUCAGACCACAAUUAGUAGUGUUGUCUGAUUAUAUGGGGAGUCCACUCAUUUAAUUUUUGAUUUUGUCCAAGGCAAAUUGCCUUUGCCUUUUGUCUAAGCCCGAUUUCAUUCAUUCUAUCUAAAACCAUAUGCCUUUUUCUCAAACUGGGCAUCUCUCAAGUCGGUAGCGAAACCCCAACCAUCGACCACAGAGCACCCGCGGCCCUACCGGAAUCCUAAUCUCAGAUUCAUCAACGGAGGUGCAUUUCAAGAUUUCAGCAGCGGUGGUGCAUUUGAAGAAAACCCUGAUAGCCCAUCUAACAAUCGUCUGAGAAGGACCCGUUGAAGGAAGUAGAGGUACGAGUUGAUCUAGAGGAAGGUCCACCAGAUCCUAGAUCGAAAAUUUGGGGGAUUAAUUUGAAGAAGGAGAAGAAGAAAUUGGGGCCAAUUUUUCGGAGGGCUUGAAGUCUUCAUCGAAGUUGAUUGACGCGUUUUUGUUUGGUUGCCCAAAAUACCACCGGCACUCUCUUUCUCACCUUUAUCAGUUGAUCAAUCAGGAGCAGUCGAGCUAAUAGCUGGAAAUUGGAAUCAGUUGUAGAUCUUUGAAACAAAGGCGAGUACUGAAGUUUCCUUUUACUUAUCACCUUAAUUUGCUUCAUUAACCUCUGCUACUUGCAAUUUAUGUUAUCCCAAUUUACUUUUUGAUUUAUUAUAUAUACACGUGUGUGUGCUUAUUGUGCUCCUUAAACCAUUAUCUUAUUGGCCAGAAAUUAACAGUCAAAGACAGGUCUCAAGUUUAGAUAGUUCACAUUUUACACUUCUUCUUCUUCUGUUCUUUUUUCAUCUUUCUCCUUUAGAGUGGAAUAUAUGAUAUCCACUAUCUGCUUUGCUUUGUUCACACCAAAGAGGAAUAAUCUUUUGUGCAUUAAUGCUUUGCUCUUACAGAGUAAUCCUUAUUUUAGAAUAGCGUUUUAUCACUUAAUAGUGUUAUAAUCUCAUUGUCUCUGCAUAGUGAUCCUCCGUAGUCAAGAGGCCAGCUAAACAUAAAUCAAUGGCCAUUGGAAUUUGUUAGAAAUAAUUGGAACGCUGUUCUUCUAAAUAAGUAAUGCUUAUAGUAAAUGUAAGUCACCAAUUGUUGAUUCAUCCAAAAAAAAAAAAAUUCACCAAUUGUUGAGACUUGAGUUUCAUUUAUGUCCUGUCUCAUAUUUGUGUUUCAUGUACUCUUGGCCUUUGUGGGCAGAAAAACAAGUAUUUAUGAAGUUCUCCAGACAAUAUCGUGUUCUCUUGCUUCAGAGAGAGGGGAGAAGUUGGGUGAUUCAGUGAGUUUUCCUCAACUUCGUGAUAAAACUACAAGUCUGGCUUUUCUUUUCUUUUUACAAUUCCUUUCUUUUUGGUUUCCUUCUUAUGUUGGAUAUAAGGUUCGGUUAGAGACUUAGAAGGCAUGAAAGGAAGGGAUACAUGCCUUCUCUUCUGCACCACUAGCAUUUUUGUUGAGAAGAUUGCUAGUUGAUGGAAAUUUGAAAGGUAUAACUCAUGUCAUUGUGGAUGAGAUUCUCGAACGCGGAAUGAAUGAAGAUUUUCUGCUCAUUGUUCUCAAGGAUCUCCUUCCUUCGGCCAGAAUUGAGGUUGAUUCUGAUGAGUGCAACCCUAGAUUCUGAGCUUUUCUGGCAGGGCUCAGAUAAUUCAUGUUCCAGGUCUUACAUACCCUGUUCGAACUCAUUUUCUGUAGGAUGUUCUGGAAAGUACGGGUUGCAGGUUAACUCCAUACAAUCAGAUUGAUGAAAGUGCAAGGCAUACACUUAUGAGUGUAUUAUUAUAUUACCAUCUUGUGGUGUUUAGUUUUGUUUUGACUUAUUUACAAUAUUUGCUUCUCACCUACAAUUCACAUUUUUGGUUCUUAACUUUUUCCACAGGUGAAAAGUGCCAGAGUAUUUGAAGAUCAUUGGGGCCUUGGAUGAGAACGAGAAUCUGACUAUUUUAGGACGCUAUCUAACUAUGCUUACUAUGGAGCCAAAAUUUGGAAAGAUGCUCUUGGUAGGUGCCAUCUUCAACUGCCUCGAUCCUGUUUUGACUAUUGUUUCCGGUCUUAGUGUCAGAGAUCCUUUCUUAACACCAUUUGACAAGGAAGAUCUUGCGGAUGCUGCUAAAUCUCAGUUUUCCCGAGACCACAGUGAUCACCUUGCACUUGUGCGUGCCUAUGAGGGCUGGAAGGUAGCUGAAAGAGACUUUGCUGGAUAUGACUACUGCUGGAAAAAUUUUCUUUCAGCACAAUCAAUGAAAGCUAUUGAUUCUCUCAGGAAGGAGUUCUACUCUUUGAAAGCUAGUGCCUACACCUCACACACACACAUAUAUAUAUAACCCAGAUUAGGAAGCUAUACGUACUAGUUUUUUGCCUUAGAUGUUCUAUACUGUGAUGUUUUUUGGGUUGCCUUUAUCGAUCAUGUCUUUAGUUUCAUAGAUGGGUUUUAUUGAACUAAUGCUCAGGUUCUGUAAUGUACUGAAUGAUUUGCCAGUUUGAUGCAAUGGCAUUUUAUGGAUUUCCAGAUUACCAACGAA